Molecule: microRNA precursor, 69 nt
Filed under: Medicago truncatula (barrel medic)
Lineage: Eukaryota; Viridiplantae; Streptophyta; Magnoliopsida; Fabales; Fabaceae
Description: MIR2629 microRNA precursor family
Rfam family: MIR2629 microRNA precursor family
Source: Rfam by way of RNAcentral
UGCCGAAGUUUUCCUCGGCAGUUAACUGCAGCCGGUUUCAUAACUCGGCAAUUAACUGCCGAGGAGCAU